This 76-nucleotide transfer RNA is filed under the name Cyrtodactylus chanhomeae. RNAcentral's name for it is "tRNA Leu". It matches the Rfam family "tRNA". From Rfam's summary of the family: Transfer RNA (tRNA) molecules are approximately 80 nucleotides in length. Their secondary structure includes four short double-helical elements and three loops (D, anti-codon, and T loops). Lineage: Eukaryota; Metazoa; Chordata; Lepidosauria; Squamata; Gekkonidae. The record is from RNAcentral.
AUUAGGGUGGCAGAGCCAGGCAUUAUGCACAGGACCUAAACUCCUGCUAUCAAAAGUUCAAAUCUUUUCCCUAAUC